AUCUGGGGGGUGGCACCAGGCUGUGAAGGAUCCACAGACUGGCAUAUGCAGGAGGAAAUGGGGCGGGCGAGGAGUAAGGACCCCAAAAAGCAGGGGUAGGGAAGGGCCCUCCCAGCGCCCCACUGUAAUAGGGGCCUCAUCAAUGCCCCAUGCUCACUGAAUAAAGCACUGCCAGCGAAAGGUGAAAAGAGGAACAAAGAACAUUCUCCUGGACGCCACCCACAGAAAGCCACGUGCAGGCUUGGCCCUCACCUUGGGGACCUUGGACACGGAGCUGGUUAUGUCACAUCUGGCUCUCAGAGCUGGGGCAGCGUCUAGGAGGCCUGAUGUAGAAAGCACUCAGCUAAGCCCUAGUUACCGGCACACGGGCACCAGCGCCCCCUCUCAGCAAACUCCACGUCUUAUGAAAUUAGCACUGGAUUUCCACUUCAAUUGGAAAAUAUGGCCAAGGUGGAGAACCCCUUCUUUAAGCAAAAGAUGGCACGGACCCCCGACAUAAGACAGUUCAAAGCUGAGCGGCUCUCCCCAUCAUGCAAGUAACCUGCGUGCCGCCACGGGAAACAGCACGCAUCCCAUCUGGACUCCCACCAGACAACUGAGGCAACCGAGAAGGAGGCUGGGGAGGGACAGCUCGAGGGCUCACUGGAGGUCAGCAGGGAGGUGGACUGCGUCUCCCGAGGGCCAGCACUGGCUUAGCCUGCUCAGUGAGGUGCCCGAAGGAGGCCCACCAGCUCUGCCAGCACCCGGCCUCUGCACCUCAGCUUUCAGCGGAUAGGUUUGUGCAACGAAAUAUUUCAUAGAAAUCAAGAAACAUGAGUGAACGAUGCACACCACCGCGUGGAUGAGUCUCAGAGACUGUGGAGCGAAAGAAGCCAGACACAAAGGUUGACAUUUACACGCAAUCCUAGAAUGACGGCUCUAUGGUGGCAGAGAGGAGAAAAGCAGUUAGCUUUGGCAGGUGCCCACGGAGGGGGCUAUGCAAUGGAACUUUCUGGGCCCUGGAGGUGUUGCAGAGUUUGCUAUGGGUGGUGGUAGUUACGUGGGUUUCUAUGAAUGUAAAAACUCUUGGUGUGGUAGACCCAAGCUCUGGGCACCUCACGCAUGCCAUGCAGCAGCUCGAUCUGUGACAGCGAGUCCUGUGUUCCAUGAUAUGGCUGCAAACACUUGACAGAGUGAAUGCCGAACCUCUGCUCCUAAGGGAAAUAGAGGGCCAGGUUCCUACGAGCCUCUGCUCCAGCCUUUUCAGCAACCAAUCAGUACACAAUAGAGUUAUUUAUGUGUUUCUGUUAAUAUAUGUCACUAAACUCCCGGCCAAGAGCA
RNAcentral lists this long non-coding RNA (1320 nucleotides) under Homo sapiens (human). RNAcentral's name for it is "non-protein coding lnc-INF2-1:4". The record is from RNAcentral. Lineage: Eukaryota; Metazoa; Chordata; Mammalia; Primates; Hominidae.